GAUGAACGCUGGCGGCGUGCCUAAUACAUGCAAGUCGAACGCUGAAACGAGGAGCUUGCUCUUCUUGGUUGAGUGGCGAACGGGUGAGUAACGCGUAGGUAACCUGCCUUGUAGCGGGGGAUAACUUUUGGAAACGGGAGCUAAUACCGGAUAACAAUGGAAGACACAUGGCGUUUAAUUGAAAGGCGCAAUUGCUUCACUUCAUGACGGAUCUGGGUGGUAUUAGCUUGUAGGUGAGGUAACGGCCAACCAAGGCAACGAACCUUAGCCGGCCGGAGAGGAUGACCGCCCACAUGGGAACGGAACCACGGCCCAGACUCCUACGGGAGGCAGCAGUGGGGAAUAUUGGCCAAUGGGGGAAAGCCUGACGCAGCAAGCCCGCGGGUGUGAAGAAGGUUUCCGGUUUGUAAACUCCGUUGAGCGGGGAGGAAGAGAGUGAGAGUGAAACGUUCACACUGUGACGGUAGCUUAACAGAAAGCGACGGCUAACUACGUG
RNAcentral lists this ribosomal RNA (496 nucleotides) under uncultured bacterium. RNAcentral describes it as "partial 16S ribosomal RNA". It matches the Rfam family "Bacterial small subunit ribosomal RNA", at positions 28 to 507 of the family's 1533-position model. The record is from RNAcentral.